UACGUAGGAGGCAAGCGUUGUCCGGAAUCACUGGGCGUAAAGAGCGUGUAGGCGGUCUGCCAAGUCUGUUGUGAAAGCCCACGGCUCAACCGUGGAGGGUCAUUGGAAACUGGGGGAACUUGAGUACAGAAGAGGAAAGCGGAAUUCCACGUGUAGCGGUGAAAUGCGUAGAGAUGUGGAGGAACACCAGUGGCGAAGGCGGCUUUCUGGUCUGUAACUGACGCUGAGGCGCGAAAGCGUGGGGAGCAAACAGG
Molecule: ribosomal RNA, 254 nt
Filed under: uncultured bacterium
Lineage: Bacteria
Description: partial 16S ribosomal RNA
Rfam family: Bacterial small subunit ribosomal RNA
Source: RNAcentral